UACGUAGGGUGCAAGCGUUGUCCGGAAUUAUUGGGCGUAAAGAGCUCGUAGGCGGUCUGUCGCGUCUGCUGUGAAAACUCAGGGCUCAACCCUGAGCCUGCUUCCGAUACGGGCAGACUAGAGGUAUGCAGGGGAGAAUGGAAUUCCUGGUGUAGCGGUGAAAUGCGCAGAUAUCAGGAGGAACACCGGUGGCGAAGGCGGGUCUCUGGGCCGUAACUGACGCUGAGGAGCGAAAGCAUGGGGAGCGAACAGG
This 253-nucleotide ribosomal RNA is filed under the name uncultured bacterium. RNAcentral describes it as "partial 16S ribosomal RNA". It matches the Rfam family "Bacterial small subunit ribosomal RNA", at positions 524 to 776 of the family's 1533-position model. The record is from RNAcentral.